This 439-nucleotide ribosomal RNA is filed under the name uncultured bacterium. RNAcentral describes it as "bacterial SSU rRNA". It matches the Rfam family "Bacterial small subunit ribosomal RNA", at positions 959 to 1397 of the family's 1533-position model. The record is from RNAcentral.
ACGCGCGGAACCUUACCAGGUCUUGACAUCCCACUGACCGCUAUGGAGACAUAGUUUUCCCUUCGGGGACAGUGGUGACAGGUGGUGCAUGGUUGUCGUCAGCUCGUGUCGUGAGAUGUUGGGUUAAGUCCCGCAACGAGCGCAACCCUUGUUCUUAGUUGCCAUCAUUUAGUUGGGCACUCUAAGGAGACUGCCGGUGACAAACCGGAGGAAGGUGGGGAUGACGUCAAAUCAUCAUGCCCCUUAUGACCUGGGCUACACACGUGCUACAAUGGAUGGUACAAAGGGCAGCAAAGCGGCGACGCCUAGCAAAUCCCAUAAAACCAUUCUCAGUUCGGAUUGUAGGCUGCAACUCGCCUACAUGAAGCUGGAAUCGCUAGUAAUCGCGGAUCAGCAUGCCGCGGUGAAUACGUUCCCGGGCCUUGCACACACCGCCCGU